Molecule: non-coding RNA, 622 nt
Organism: Salvelinus sp. IW2-2015
Lineage: Eukaryota; Metazoa; Chordata; Actinopteri; Salmoniformes; Salmonidae
Source: RefSeq, a predicted model, not a curated record
GUGUUGGGUAGAGGUGUUACAGGUUAUCUGGUUGUUGGGUAGAGGUGUUAGAAGUGUUACAGGUUCUCUGGUGUGUUGGGUAGAAGUGUUACAGGUUCUCUGGGUGUUGGGUCGAGGUGUUACAGGUUCUCUGGUGUGUUGGGUAGAGGUGUUACAGGUUCUCUGGUGUGUUGGGUCGAGGUGUUACAGGUUCUCGGUGUGUUGGGUAGAGGUGUUACAGGUUCUCUGGUGUGUUGGGUAGAGGGUGUUACAGGUUCUCUGGUGUGUUGGGUAGAGGUGUUACAGGUUCUCUGGUGUGUUGGGUAAGGUGUUACAGGUUCUCUGGUGUGUGGGUAGAGGUGUUACAGGUUCUCUGGUGUGUUGGGUAGAGGUGUUACAGGUUCUCUGGUGUGUUGGGUAGAGGUGUUAGAAGUGUUACAGGUUUUUUCUGGUGUGUUGGUAGAGGUGUUAGAAGUGUUACAGGUUCUCUGGUGUGUUGGGUAGAAGUGUUACAGGUUCUCUGGUGUGUUGGGUAGAGGUGUUACAGGUUCUCUGGUGUGUUGGGUAGAGGUGUUAGAAGUGUUACAGGUUCUCUGGUGUGUUGGGUAGAGGUGUUAGAAGUGUUACAGGUUCUCUGGUGUGU